AGAGUUUGAUCCUGGCUCAGAUUGAACGCUGGCGGCAUGCCUUACACAUGCAAGUCGAACGGCAGCGCGGGAGCAAUCCUGGCGGCGAGUGGCGAACGGGUGAGUAAUAUAUCGGAACGUGCCUUAGAGUGGGGGAUAACUAGUCGAAAGACUAGCUAAUACCGCAUACGACCUACGGGUGAAAGUGGGGGAUCGCAAGACCUCAUGCUCUUAGAGCGGCCGAUAUCUGAUUAGCUAGUUGGUGGGGUAAAAGCCUACCAAGGCGACGAUCAGUAGCUGGUCUGAGAGGACGACCAGCCACACUGGGACUGAGACACGGCCCAGACUCCUACGGGAGGCAGCAGUGGGGAAUUUUGGACAAUGGGGGCAACCCUGAUCCAGCAAUGCCGCGUGUGUGAAGAAGGCCUUCGGGUUGUAAAGCA
Molecule: ribosomal RNA, 422 nt
Filed under: uncultured bacterium
Lineage: Bacteria
Description: bacterial SSU rRNA
Rfam family: Bacterial small subunit ribosomal RNA
Source: RNAcentral